GGGCUGGUUACUUUAUGUCUGUUGACUGAGGAUGUUUGGCAUAGGUCCUAGUUGAGGGACUGGGGUGCUGGGGCUCGGUGGUAGCGCACUUGCCUGACACGUGUGAGGCACUGGGUUCGAUUCUUGGCACCACAUAUAAAAAUAAAUAAAAUAAAGGUCUAUCAACAACUAAAAAAAUAAUAAAAACAAACAAACAAAAAAAAACAGGUCCUGGUUGAAUAUGAGGUCCUCAUUGCACCUCAGUGGUAACCUGCCCAAAGCCUGGGACUGAGAGCCUUAGAUAGGCCUAAAGACUUUACCCACCAUUAGUGACCAUGCCUACCUUAAAUUAGGCCACUUAAAACCCCCAGACCCCUUUCUGGGCUAGUAGCUCAACACUUAUUCAUCCAUUUACCCACUUUUGAGGCCUUUCCCUUAACUCAUCAUAUUUUAGGGACAAAAGGUUGUUUUUUUUUUUCUCUAAUAUUUAUCAGUUAUUGAUGGACCUUUAUUCAUUUAUUUGUUUAUAUGUGAUGGUGAGAAUCUAACCCAGUGCCCCACACAUACUAGGCAAGUGCUCUACCACUGAGCCACAACCCCAGCCGACUGAAGGUUUUGAUAUGAGCACAAGAGGGAGAGGUGAAUCAGAUUGGAGAAGGUGGCAGGAUUUCCAAUGGUAUCUAAAGAAGACUGGAUUUGUGCAAAGGUGAUGGGGAAAUCUCUUAGAUCUAUAGUUCCUUAUCUUAGGGCCUCCCUGGAUAUCUUGAGACUGCCCUCUGGACUGAGACCAAACCCCUCUACCUAGUGAGGACAAAGUGCUGACCUAUCCUAGCACCCGGUGCUGACUCCAGCAGCUAACUUUCUGAGGUAUAGUUGGCUGGUCUUAUCCUUUCCACCCUGAUUUGGGAGCUGCACAAGGGCAGUCCUUAUGUCCUUUAUGGCCAGUGUUGGCCUGGGGGUUGGGGAGCAAGCACAGAAGACUAAACUAAGAGCUUCAGAUGAGAGAUUCAUGGCAUGGAGAGGAGGAACUUGUUUAAAUUGAGUUUCCGCCAAGCCUCCUGUUUCCCCCUGGAGUGAAACAAGGGGCUGGGUUGGACUAAACUAUACCAUCCUAUGGCUUUGAGGACACAGAACCUUCAACAGUGGGACCUCAGGACCAGGCCUGUGGCAGCU
This 1152-nucleotide long non-coding RNA is filed under the name Marmota monax (woodchuck). Lineage: Eukaryota; Metazoa; Chordata; Mammalia; Rodentia; Sciuridae. The record is from RNAcentral.